AAAACACCCAUUAACAUAAGAUCUUGGUCCCAAACCUAGUAUUAUCUAAACCCCAUACUUAUACAUGCACGCCUCAACACAACAGUGAAACAGCCCACCACAACCAACAACGGAGCCGAUAUCAGGCAAGCCUGCCCACAACAUCAAGCACCCAAGCCACACCCCCACGGGCCCGCAGCAGUAGUUAACAUUAGGCCAUAAGCGUAAGCUUGACCUAGUAAUGGGGUCCUAGGGCCGGUUAAUCUCGUGCCAGCGACCGCGGUUAUACGACAGACCCAAGACAAUACCACCGGCGUAAAGCACGACUAAAACCCAAGUUAUUACAAUAGGGAUAAAGACAAGCCAGGCUGUAAAAAGCCAUAAGCCACACUAAACAUACAACCCUAAUACCAAACAACUUCAACUCGUGAAAGCCAGGAUACAAACUAAGAUUAGAUACCUUACUAUGCCUGACCAUAACAAAACAGUUAAAUUACCAACUGUUCGCCAAAUAACUACGAGUAAAAACUUAAAAUUUAAAAGACUUGACGGUACUUCACACCAACCUAGAGGAGCCUGUCUAAUAACCGAUGACCCACGAUUAACCCAACCAACUCUGGCCCAACAGUCUAUAUACCGCCGUCGCCAGCUUACCUUGUGAGAGAACCAAAGUAAGCCAAACAACCCCUACAUUAACACGACAGGUCGAGGUGUAACUAAUGAGGUGGAUUAAGAUGGGCUACACUCUCUAACUCAGAAAAAACGAACAGACUAUGAAACUAGAAACAGAAGGCGGAUUUAGCAGUAAGUUAGGAAUAGACACACCCAACCGAAAUUAAUGCAAUGAAGUACGCACACACCGCCCGUCAUCCCUGCAAAACACCAUACAUAUCCAUAAAAACCAACUACCACCCACACAGGGCAAGUCGUAACAAGGUAAGCGUAC
This 925-nucleotide non-coding RNA is filed under the name unidentified. The record is from RNAcentral.